UUGAAAGGGAAACGAUUGAAGUCAGUCAUGCUAGUGAAAAAUCAGUUUGACGGGUUUUGAGUUCUUGAGUAGAGGCAGGGUCAAACCGUUUCUCUUUUGGACUUGGGAUUUGUUAGAUGUACUUUUUCUUUGGCAGGUCAACGUCGGUUUCGGGGGUUGUAAAAUACUUGGGGGAAAGUAGCUCUGCUUCGGGAGAGUGUUAUAGACCCUGGGAGAUGCAGCCUGUGGGAUCGAGGAUUGCAGCAAAUGCCUUUUGGCUUGUCGCCUGUUCCUGGGUGUUACCUGUCUUGUGACAACAUUCUUGCCACCGGGGAGUACUAAUGCCUACUGUUUAGAGCGAUCGAAAAUUUCGUUAAGGAUGUUGACGUA
This 369-nucleotide ribosomal RNA is filed under the name uncultured Glomeromycotina. RNAcentral's name for it is "LSU rRNA". Lineage: Eukaryota; Fungi; Glomeromycota. The record is from RNAcentral.